AAAAAGGUCUUUCUAAAGACCACGACAGACUUUGAAGCAAACUUUA
Non-coding RNA from Phaethon lepturus (White-tailed tropicbird), 46 nucleotides. The record is from Rfam. Lineage: Eukaryota; Metazoa; Chordata; Aves; Phaethontiformes; Phaethontidae.